AUGUUUAAAAUGAAAUGCAUAUGAGUUAUGUGGAAAAAAACGGGAAGUGAAAUACCAUGCAUAGAAUUGAUAUGAAAAGUAUAUAGAAAUGUGAGUUGAAAUGCCAUGCAUGAAUUAAUAUAUGAUGCAUAUGUAUGAAUUGGUGCGGUGGACGCACAGGUAAGAAUUGAUUUAUGAUGCAUAUGUAUGAAUUGGUGCGGUGGACACACAGGUAAGAAUUGAUUUAUGAUGCAUAUGUAUGAAAUGGUGCGGUGGACGCACAUGUGAGUAUUUAUUUCUGUUAUGAUGAUGUUGAUGUAUAUUGAGCUCAAAUCCUGCACCAUAGUUUAGUGCUUAUAGUAUUCACCGCAUCGCACGCUCGUCUUGGAUCCAAGUAGAUGCUAGUCGUACAGUCCACGUGGAGUGGGUACGACAGGCCAGUCGCGAGAGUGUUAGUGAGAUUCCGACUGGUGGGUGACCUUAGAUUAUGUGUGCACAGAUGAUUUAUGAGAAGCACUAGAGCGUAACUUAUGUGCAGAAGGCCGUACAGGUCACGUGGAGUGACUCCGGCAGAGUGUGAGAUUGAUAGAUUUUGAGCUCUAGGUUCAACCGUACAGGGCUAUAGAGGGCCUCCGGUUGAUUACUUUCUUGCACCUGAUAUGAUUAUUGUUGAUGCAUCCAUACUUAACUGUUGAAUUAGACAUGGCAUGGCAUGAUUGAUAAAGAAAAAUGUUGAGAUAGUAAAAAUGAAGUUUUGAGAAUAUAUAUGUAUAUUUAUAUUUUACAUUUCUGGGAAAGUAUACAGGUUUUACGGAGAGGGGUUACAAUGCUUUGAGAAAAAAUUGGAUUUGAAAAGAAUUGUUUUACUGACCCACUCAAUUUUGGUUUUGCGCCCCUCCAGGUUCAGGAAUCACAAAGGUGUGGUGACUACGAGGAAUUCGACGGUGUUCUGACAGAUUGGACAAAAUUAGGACUCACCUUCGGGUGUAUCAAUUUAAAUUGUAUCUUAAAGCUUCCGUACUGUGCAAAUGGUUACGUCACUCUCACGUGACGGCCAGCAUGCCCUCCUUCGGGACGGGGUGUGUCAGUUGGUAUCAGAGCCAGACUCACGGCCGUUCGGUGUGCCGACGAGGAUGUCGGUCUCCCUAAGGGGGGUGGAUUGUAGUAUCCCACAUCGACGACGUGAGGGCUGUCCUUGGGCCUUAUAUGUAUUCGCUCGCAUGUACUCUUCGGAUACGCGUUUUGGAGCUGCGGCUUGCAAAAACAAACCCGUGAGUGGGGUCGGACCGGUGCGCCGGGUUCCACCACAAAGCGGACAAUAUCUCUGCGGAGGAAGGCGUGGUAUACACUGUUUGGUAUCAGAGCCAGACUCACGGCCGUUCGGUGUGCCGACGAGGACGUCGGUCUCCCUAAGGGGGGUGGAUUGUAGUAUCCCACAUCGACGACGUGAGGGCUGUCCUUGGGCCUUAUAUGUAUUCGCUCGCAUGUACUCUUCAGAGACGCGUUUUGGAGCUGCAGCUUGCAAAAACAAAUCCGUGAGUGGGGUCGGACCGGUGCGCCGGGUUCCACCACAAAGCGGACAAUAUCUCUGCGGAGGAAGGCGUGGUAUACACUGUUUAUACCAACUGACACACCCCGUCCCGAAGGAGGGCAUGCUGGCCGUCACGUGAGAGUGACGUAACCAUUUGCACAGUACGGAAGCUUUAAGAUACAAUUUAAAUUGAUACACCCGAAGGUGAGUCCUAAUUUUGUCCAAUCUGUCAGAACACCGUCGAAUUCCUCGUAGUCACCACACCUUUGUGAUUCCUGAACCUGGAGGGGCGCAAAACCAAAAUUGAGUGGGUCAGUAAAACAAUUCUUUUCCAAAUCCAAACAUUUCUCAAAACGUUGUAACCCCUCUCCGUAAAACCUGUAUACUUUCCCAGAAAUGUAAAAUAUAAAUAUACAUAUAUAUUCUCAAAACUUCAUUUUUUACUAUCUCAACAUUAUCUCUUUAUCAAUCAUGCCAUGCAUGAAUUAAUAUAUGAUGCAUAUGUAUGAAUUGGUGCGGUGGACGCACAGGUAAGAAUUGAUUUAUGAUGCAUAUGUAUGAAUUGGUGCGGUGGACGCACAGGUAAGAAUUGAUUUAUGAUGCAUAUGUAUGAAAUGGUGCGGUGGAUGCACAGAUGAGUAUUUAAUUACUGUUAUGAUGAUGAUGAUAUAUAUUGAGCUCAAAUCCUGCACCAUGGUUUAGUGCUUAUAGUAUUCACCGCAUCGCACGCUCGCCUUGGAUCCAAGUAGAUGCUAGUCGUACAGUCCACGCGGAGUGGGUACGACAGACCAGUCGCGAGAGUGUUAGUGAGAUUCCGACUGGUGGGUGACCUUAGAUUAUGUGCACAGAUGAUUUAUGAGAAGCACUAGAGCGUAACUUGUGUGCAGAAGGCCGGACGGGUCACAGAGGUGACUCCGGUAGAGUGAUAAUGAUAGAUUUUGAGCUCUAGGUUCAACCGUAUAGGGCUAUUAGAGGGCAUACGGUUGAUUACUUUCUUGCACCUGAUAUGAUUAUGUUGAUGCAUUCAUACCUUAUUACUGUUGAGAUGAUGUGGCAUGGCAUAAUUAAUAUGAGAAAUGUUGAGAUGACAACGGUUUAACCAUUUGGAAAAGAUGUUUCGGAUUAUGCAAGUUAAAGGAAAUUUCCUUCUGACAAGGGGUCGAGACGACUACCUGGUUUUGGGUAUGAAUUUGUAUCCUGGUGGAAACAGGAUUGUUAAUUGUUGUCACCGGAGGAAACAGCUGAUUGAGAAUUAUUUAAGGACUUGUUUAAGGAAAAGUUUAUCCCUCCGGCAUUUAUCGAUGGUAGUAAGCAAGAGUUUACAAAUGUGAAUCAAGGAAGUUGAUGAUAAAUGAAUAUUAUAGAAAGUUUUCAGACUUGCCUCGUUCCAUCCAGAUAUUUGAGACAAGGUGUCUCGAGUAAAGGAAAUGUACCUUGUGCAGCAGGUACAAAAUUAACACUUUGAGAAAUGUGAAAUCAAGGAAUGUGUUUAUGUGAACAGAGGGGACGCAGAAUUGUGAAUUGCCCCUAGAAUCAGUUGUACUCAACAAUUUUCCAUGAUAUCAUAGUGUCGAUUCAGCAGAGUUAUGGACUUAGUAGUUUGGUCGGAUUGACCGUGAGUACAGAGAGAUUUGAUGAGUUAUAUGUUCAGCCGUACAGACCAUGAGAAAUGGAUUCGACUGACACAUGAGAAAUUGGUGAGUUAUAGGUUCGGCCGUACUGACCACGCGGAGUGGAUCCGGCCGACGUAUUAUUGAGAUAAGAGUUGAAUCAGCCGUAUUGAUCAUUCUAGUUGACUUCGGCUGAUAUAUUUCUUAUUAUGUAUGUUAUUACCUAGAGAGUAGUAAAUAAAUGUAGUUGAGACGAGUGUAUGUAUUUUGCAUUGAGUGACAAAAUAGUAAUGUUAUAUCUUUGAGAGUGGUUGCCUACUUAUCGAGACAACGAUGAUUUAUCAGUAUUGCGGGCUGCAGACCGUAAUAUUAAUAACUCAUUCGUGGAUUCGUUAAGCAAGCAACCCGGUAGAUUAUUUUAUGUUAGUAUUGUACUUAUUUAGAAUGCUUAAUAAUAAUAGAAUAUAUAUUGUAUCAGUUAAUUUUGUUCCAUUAGAUUGGUUGGUUAUAAUUGUGACAAGACGGAAUGUUACGGGAAACCAGUAUUUUCCAUCGAUCUGGAUGACCAAAGAUUACUUUUGUAAGUAUGCAAAGUGGAUUGAGUCAGGCCGUUAUUUAUACUGUAAGAGCAAAGAGAUUGUUUUCGAAAGGCUGUCAAAAAUACUUAGCUCAUGUGGUGCUAAAUGAUGUUGUCCUAGAGAUAUAUUGUGGACCUCUGGAAGUUAUGGAUUUAAAAUCUGAGUGGCAGAUCUUCCGGAUCGAACUACGUAGUGACGUAUUUUAUAUAAGUUAUAUAUUCUAUCGAUAUGAAUUCUGAGGUUGGAUUUGAUUACUAUUCUAGGCGGCGAUCGUCGUGACGCCUUGAUGUGUGGUGCUAGGGAGUUGUUGGACGAACUCCAGGUGAGUGGGCAGUUUUGUUUUCCGUAUAUAUAUAUACUUGACGUUUCCCAGAAAUUGAAUUGAAAUGAAAAUAUGUUUAAAAUGAAAUGCAUAUGAGUUAUGUGGAAAAACGGGAAGUGAAAUACCAUGCAUAGAAUUGAUAUGAAAAGUAUAUAGAAAUGUGAGUUGAAAUGCCAUGCAUGAAUUAAUAUAUGAUGCAUAUGUAUGAAUUGGUGCGGUGGACGCACAGGUAAGAAUUGAUUUAUGAUGCAUAUGUAUGAAUUGGUGCGGUGGACGCACAGGUAAGAAUUGAUUUAUGAUGCAUAUGUAUGAAAUGGUGCGGUGGACGCACAUGUGAGUAUUUAUUUCUGUUAUGAUGAUGUUGAUGUAUAUUGAGCUCAAAUCCUGCACCAUAGUUUAGUGCUUAUAGUAUUCACCGCAUCGCACGCUCGUCUUGGAUCCAAGUAGAUGCUAGUCGUACAGUCCACGUGGAGUGGGUACGACAGGCCAGUCGCGAGAGUGUUAGUGAGAUUCCGACUGGUGGGUGACCUUAGAUUAUGUGCACAGAUGAUUUAUGAGAAGCACUAGAGCGUAACUUAUGUGCAGAAGGCCGUACAGGUCACGUGGAGUGACUCCGGCAGAGUGUGAGAUUGAUAGAUUUUGAGCUCUAGGUUCAACCGUACAGGGCUAUUAGAGGGCCUCCGGUUGAUUACUUUCUUGCACCUGAUAUGAUUAUUGUUGAUGCAUCCAUACUUAACUGUUGAAUUAGACAUGGCAUGGCAUGAUUGAUAAAGAAAAAUGUUGAGAUAGUAAAAAUGAAGUUUUGAGAAUAUAUAUGUAUAUUUAUAUUUUACAUUUCUGGGAAAGUAUACAGGUUUUACGGAGAGGGGUU
Molecule: long non-coding RNA, 4891 nt
Filed under: Malus domestica (apple)
Lineage: Eukaryota; Viridiplantae; Streptophyta; Magnoliopsida; Rosales; Rosaceae
Description: long non-coding RNA (MDOM_LNC014899)
Source: RNAcentral